GAGUUGUAUGGAGAUACAAUUGAUAAUUAUAUCUACCCAAAUGUUUUAUUAGGAUUUGUUGAGUACACUCAAGAUCCCGAUACAACGAAUGGGAUCUCAGCCCACUGUGAAUCAAGUGUGGAUUCAAAUAAUUUGUGUAUGAGGGUCAUGAAUUUAUUUUGGACAGUGGGAGCAUGUUUAAUUAAAGUCCAUAUUGAAUUUAUGCACAUGCAUUAUAAUACAUAUUAAUUCUAUUUUUU
RNAcentral lists this long non-coding RNA (239 nucleotides) under Olea europaea (common olive). RNAcentral's name for it is "long non-coding RNA (OEUR_LNC007763)". The record is from RNAcentral. Lineage: Eukaryota; Viridiplantae; Streptophyta; Magnoliopsida; Lamiales; Oleaceae.